Molecule: ribosomal RNA, 643 nt
Filed under: uncultured bacterium
Lineage: Bacteria
Description: bacterial SSU rRNA
Rfam family: Bacterial small subunit ribosomal RNA (bases 1-537)
Source: RNAcentral
CCUACGGGAGGCAGCAGUAAGGAAUAUUGGUCAAUGGACGGAAGUCUGAACCAGCCAUGCCGCGUGCAGGAUGACGGCCCUCUGGGUUGUAAACUGCUUUUAUAGGGGACGAAAAAAGGGAAUUCUUUCCCACUUGACGGUACCCUAGGAAUAAGCACCGGCUAACUCCGUGCCAGCAGCCGCGGUAAUACGGAGGGUGCAAGCGUUAUCCGGAUUUACUGGGUUUAAAGGGUGCGUAGGUGGGUUGGUAAGUCAGCGGUGAAAUCUUCGAGCUUAACUCGGAAACUGCCAUUGAUACUAUCAACCUUGAAUCAUCUAGAGGUAAGCGGAAUAUGUCAUGUAGCGGUGAAAUGCUUAGAUAUGACAUAGAACACCAAUUGCGAAGGCAGCUUACUAUGGAUGUAUUGACACUGAGGCACGAAAGCGUGGGGAUCAAACAGGAUUAGAUACCCUGGUAGUCCACGCCCUAAACCGAUGGAUACUCGACAUUUGAGAUAUACUUUAAGUGUUCUGAGAGAAGANAUUAAGUAUACCACCGUAGGAAGGUACGAGUCGUCGAAGAAGUUAGUUAAACGUUAAAGUUAAGUUAAGUUAGUUACGGCGUUGAGACGUUGCCGACGGACGACGACGAGGGGAGGUUAGG